UUCUCUGUUAAAGUGGAGCUACUCGGGAUUAUCUCAUUGACAAUUUCUUUAGUACUGUAAAGUAAUUUCAUUUCGGAGAUGUUAUGGAUGUUAAAUAGAUGUUCCAGUGGCAAUGUUAGCAAUUUUAGAACCUGCUUGAAGAGUUGGCAUCUAUUCAACAUAAAUAUACAGUGUUUGGAAUUACUCUGUUUAUAAAUGGAUAGAAGAAAUCCUGGGACCAUCUAACCUGUGCUGGGGAAUAUUCUGCAGCAAUCAAAAGCAAAGAAUGGUUUCAGAUAUAUCAAAAUUCCUGGGAUGCCUCAUGAAGCUGUCUAUGCAUUCGUUCGUUUUCUCUAUUCCUCCUGGUAUGUUGAAAGAAUGUUGCUAUAUUCUCGUUGUGCUUAAAACGAUCAAUAUGGUUUUCGGAGGAUUUGCAUGUUACUGAUUUAUUGGGUCCUAGAUUCCUUGAAAAUGAAUUAUUAUGGGUGUUGAUGAUUGAAAAAGGGGUCCCAGAUAUAUCAAAAUUGCUUGGUUUAUUUUUCUCAUGUACUGUAGUUCGUUUGUUCUAGUUUUCAAGAAUCGUGAGGCGUUGGUUAUUACGUCAUCCAUAUAUGCUUGGUAUAUGGUGUACUCUUUCAUUUAUAAAUAAAAUAAAGUUUGCUCAUUCCUUAGAGGUUUAAUGACAUCCAUCUCUGUAUAUAUAAAAGACUACGUCCAAUCAGAGUUUUGAUUUUAAAUAUAUUUUAGUUUGAAGGGCAUACGGAGCAGUGAUGAACACAUUUGACGAGUUGGAAUGGGGGAUAUGUUGAAGAGUUUUGUAACUAAAAUGUUGUAGCUCAAAACCAACUAACUUUUUUCUUUUCAGUUGAUUAAAUUCAUGACAAUACAAGAAAAGCUUUUAGUGUACGAGCCUUAGUAUAAUUUUUUAAAUAGAGCUUAUUUUACUAUAGCUUUAUUAGUUGAGCUUUUACAAGUAAAAUUUUUAAAUAAAAAAGAAUUAAUUAUUUGAUUGUUAACGAUAUUUUUUAUUUCUUUUAAAAUUAUGUUGUGAAAGAAAUGAAAUAAGAUUGUCAAAUAAGUAAAUGAUAGUUUUAAAAUUUUAACAUUUUAAAAAGCUUAUCAACCUUUACUGUCAAAAAUUCAAAAUUUGAGCUUUUGUUUGCAACGGUAAAAUAACUUAUUUAAUCAUAAAAAAUUCUAUUAAAAAAUUAACUAACAAUAAUAAUAAAUUUUAAAAGAGAUUAUGAGAUUAAAUAAAUACUUAUGGUCAUUAGAUAAGUGAUGCUAAGCAAAGACUAAAAAAUCAAAAAGAAAUAAAAAAACGCAACAGAUCAGCUUAUGGGAGACAAAAUGAGUUUUACCUUAAUUAAAUACAAGAAAUAAAAAAAUUGAGAAGCUCCACGCAGAGAGCAAGAAAAGUAGAGAACCAAAAGUUAACAUAAAUAAUAGUUUGAAAAGCCAUUAGCAUCUCUAGAAAGAAAAACUGAAGCUUAUGCAAGAGGUCAAGACCACAAGUGAAAGAAAAGGUAAAGCAUCUACAUGAGGUAACGAUCACCAAAUAAAGUCUGUACAAUGAAGCUCAGGAUUAACAAUGACAAUCUUGAGCAGUAAUGCAACAUCAAAAGAAUUUAUUCGGUUGGAGUCAGGGAAUGAAUGUGAUAAUAUUUGCUCCACGAUUUCUUUCCACCGAUUGUCCAUCGAGGCAUAUCAAGCAAGGAUGUGUUGUUGUAUUUGGAAUAUGCAGCUCACUUUUCAGAUCCAGCCUUUGGAAUUGGACUGUAUGCGCAAGCACGUAUGGAUUUGUCAUUGUUGCUCCACGUAUGUAAUAUUCUUUUGAUUCCAUUUUGAGGAAUAUCAUUAUGUAACACAUUCCGUUGACUUAUGAAACAGAGUAAACCAUGUUUCUUUCUUCUUUUUUUCAGUUGACUUUGCGGAGCUUGCCUACACAAUGAAGAUCACAGAACAACCCGACGUGUACAGUUUCGGAGUGCUACACUGGAAGUGAUCAAGGGGAUCCAAGAGGUUUUCUUUCCUCAGUUUCGUCUUCAUCUUCCAACAUGAACAUGCACGAGUAGCUGCUCUGCUAUAUCUAUUGAUUUUUGCUAGACUAGUCAUUAUUAUUUGAGUUUUAAAUAUUUGCCUUCAUUACUCAUUGUUGCACAAGCUAAUCGUACACAUCAUGCUAUGUAGGUCUCAAUUCGGAACAAAAGAACGUUAGUUGAAGACACACAACACAAAAUAUAAAAAAUUAGUUCGCAGAUGGCCACAAAAGACUAGCUACAUUUCUGUCCAAAAAAAAAAGAAAGAAAAGAAAUAAGAAAUAAUCUGUUUGUACGGCCUCUGUAAACCAACUGCUUCCAUGCCCCAAUUUCGAAACUAUCAUUGAUAUAGAGCCAUUAGUUCCAUCUCUCGCCUAAAGCUUCGGGAGAUAUGGUCAAAAAUCUCCUUAUCGCCAUACUUUUGCUACAAAAGCCAAUAGAAUUAAUGAUCCUUAUAAAUUAUGAAUUACAUCCUAAUCUACUUGCAUUAUUUUGGAUUAAAAAAAUCUUGCUUUGAUCAUCAUUCCGAUUGGAAAUAUCAAACUCUAAGGCUUGUCAUUAAUUGGGACAAAAUUUUAAUUACAUCUCAACUUCGUAAAUAGAAGUACUUAUGAUUGAAAUAUAAUUAAAGUAGCAAGAGGCCAUUUGAAGUGUAAAAGGAAAAGGAGAGAGAAGGGUAGCUAUAGAUGGAUAAGAUAUGGGUCAGAACGAAUCAACAUUUGAUAAAACCUUUUGGGAUUGUAUCUAACAACAUUUUUUUUUCUCGGUUGGAUCUCAGUGUUUAUACAAAAGCAAAGAUUUGGAUGACUAAAAUGUGACGCUAUACUUAUAAAGUAGAGAUAUAGAGUUUAUCACCAGUGUAAUAUAUACAUGGUCUUAAUUUACACAAUUCACCAUGUGACAGUGAGAUGAUGAUAAGGUAAAUUAUCAAUUAAAAACAUGACAGUUUGUAGUAAUGUUAGAUCAUAUGAUAUGCUUAUUGAGUUAAUGGUCAUGUUCGGUCCAAUUGAAUAAGUCUAAAGUAGUAGUAAAGUUGAAUAAGUCUAAGUUAGUUGAGAUAUUAUCAACUUAGUUUGUCAAGUAUCCAGUUCUUGAUUUGUUGAGAUUUAUUUUGUUUCAUUCAUGUUUCUGCUGUACGGCCAAGCGGAUGUACGGUACAGCAGUAAAAACCCCCUAAAUUAUUAAAAUUUUGGGAUUUAUUUUUAAUAAAUAAAUUCAGUUAUUUUAAUAACAUUUUGCAAAAUUAUAAAUUUUUAAUAAAUAAAAUCAGUUAUUUUAUUAAAAUUUUACAAAGUUUUAAUUUUUAAUAAAAAGAAUUAUUAAAAUUUUACAAAAUCUAAAUUUAAUAAAAAUCAGUUGAGCACCUCUAUUUGGAAUUUAUUUUUUAUUGAAUUUAUGGGUAUUUUUAUAAUAAUAAUUUUCAUAUUUUUCGAAGUUUUUAUAAAAUAAAAUGAUCUCUUAAUUUAUUUGGGGGUAAAAUUAUCAUUUAAUUUAAAUUAUUUAAUGGUGUUAGUUCAAAAGUGGAUAGUUGAUAUAAAUUUAAAAAGAAAAGUGGUGCAAAGAACAUGUUAAAAUUUUGUAGUGGUUAAAUGAACAUAAAAAAAAAACAGAGAUGGUGUAAUGAUAAUUUACUUUAAAAAAAUAAAGAACUAUAAUUUCUUGAAUAUUCAAUGAAUUAACAAAAGAAUUGUGAAUGAAGUUUUCUUUGGUAUUAACAUAUUGUUAUCUUUAAAUCACAAUUAUUGUGAAUAAUAAAAUUAUAAUAUAAAAGUAAAAAUUGACAAUGUAUAAUAAAUAUAACUUUUAAAUAAUAAUUUUGACAAAAAUAAUAAAGAUAUUACAAGUUUCCUAUCAUUAAAAUCAAAUCAUUUUAGCUUGUAAGUCAAGAAAAAAAAUUAAGGAUAAUUUACAAUUAAUGCAGUCCUUGUGGUUUAAGGAAAAAUCAAGUAAGCCAGAAAUCAUUAGUACUAUUUUUCAAAUAAGUCCUCUGACCGUGUUUGACCAUUCACCGUACUGCAAAGUAAGCGAAAAUAUCGACUUCUUAGCAGCCCACUUUUAUGAUGCGAUUAAUUUCAACCAUUCGCUGAUUCGCGUGCUGGUAGUUAGGCAAGUUCAUUUGUUGGCCGGAGAAAUUUGAUAUUUUUGGUACCAAAUUUAUACAUAUGUGUGCGUGUGUGUGUGUGUGUGUGUUUCCUUUAAUUUGUGAAUUUGGUAUUACUUCUCAUCAGGUGUGCGAAACAGAAACAACGGCAUUUAUUACAUAAAUAUUUCUAAUUUGCAGUAUGGAAAGCUUGGAGAUGUUAAAUCUCUCCCAAAAUAACCUGUCAGGUUCAAUUCUAAGUAAUUUUGAAGAAAUGCAUGGCUUGUCAUUGGUUGGUGCAUCUCCUACAUUGAAUUACAGGGCCCAAUUCCAGUUGACAGAUACACAGCCAGAAAAUAAAUAAACUCCGUACGGACAAACUUGACACUCCCGCGGCCAGAUAUGUUCCAAAAUCUACUUAUAGCCAUAAUUUUGAUACAAAAGCCAAUGGAAUUAUUGCCCCUUAUAAAUUAUGAAUUACAUCCUAAUCUAGUUGCUUAAUUUUGGAUAGAAAAUCUUGCUUUGAUCAUUAUACCGCUUAGAAAUAUCAAAUUCCAAGGCUCGUCAUUAAUUGGGAUAAAAUUUUAUAUCUCAGCUUUCUAAAUAAUUUUACUUAUCAUUCAAAUAUAAAGUGGCCAGAGGACAUGCCGAGCGUCAAAAUGAAAGGAGAGAGGAGUAGUAGAUAAGAUACGGGUUAGAAGGAGUCAAAAUUUGAUAAACUUUUUUGGAUUGUAUCUCACAAGUCACAACUUUUUUUCCUUUUCUCCUGUUUGGAUCUCAGUGUUUAUAUAAAGCAAAGAUUCAAGGCCCACGUGUCCAUAAGAUGAGCGAUGGUGUCUACCAGAUUAGUUCUCUGGAGUUUAGAUCACCGGGGUAACACAGACAUUGACUCCUUCACUUCUCAAUUGCUCUUUUGCUUCCGCUGUAAUUGUUUUCUGCAACGUCGUUAAAUUAUAUAUGAGUGUUUGAUAACCUUUUCAAUUUCAAUCAACUUUUGUAUUACCUUAAUUAUUUUGUUUCCUUUCUGCGUAAUUGAUCUUGUGUUUUUAUAAUAUCAAUGGUGUCACGAACCUUGAAUAGAGUAUCUUUUACUGUUUUGUUGAUUCUAUUUUAUACGUGUUUGUAUUAGAAUUUUUACUUAUCAUUGAAAAACCGGGGGAUGAAAUCUAACACGUACUAAUUAAAUUUAUUUCAUGAUAAUAAACUAAAUUUAUUUCAUGAUAAUAAACUAAAUUAAUUUUUUUAAUAAUUUGAUAACUUUACCUUAAAAGAAAAACUUUGGUAUGAAUUAUAACGCUUACUAUGGCAUGAACAUGGACCCUUUUUUCCCAAUCCAAAGCUUAUCCUAUGUUUGGCAAGGUUUUAUAUACUGGGAGAGGGAUAAAUAGAGAAAAACAUAUCUAUUGGAACCGUACCUCCAACAGGAUAAGUUGGGAAAAGCAAUCAAUAAUUUAACUAAUUAAUUAAAAUUAUAAAAAAUGUUGAGGGUGGGACAAAAUCAAAUUUAUUUUUUAUCCUUUACCUCCCCAUGAUACUAUUCAGUCAGGGCCUAGAGACAAAUUAAAUUAAUUAUUACUAAGAUAACAAUAUUAUAGGUAAAACAACUUAUUCUAAUUGAAUUAUUUAAUGAUACAUAUAUUACAUAAAUUAAAAAAUUAUAGAAAUUUUUAUUUAUAUUUAAUUAACUUCCAUUUACAUUGAUUCAAAUAAUAAGCAGUACCAAAUUUUUUUUUGUUAAUAAUAUAAAAUAUGUUAUUGGCAAUAAUAAAAGAAUGUAUUACAAAUAAUAAUACAUUUAAAUAUCUUGUAAUUUAGAUGUAUAUUUUUAUUAUUUAUUUCAUGUGGGAAUCCUCCUUGUUUUUCAGCAUCAAGUUCGUUUGAUUUAUUUAGUCUCAUUUAAAUAUCUUGUUCUUCCUUUUAAAAUGUAGUUCUUGUUGUAAUAACUAAUGAUUAGUAUUUUCCAGAUAAGUUCUCUGACCGUUUUUAAUCAUUAACUAACAAUUCAUAUUUUUAACGUUUAUUAAGAAUUUUAGGUUUGUCUAUAAAUAAAUGAAAGGAAUUAAUAACAAAUUUAGUGAAGGAUGAACAAUUUUGGUAGAGUUAGGAUGUAAACGAAAAUAUAAACAAUUAAUUGUGGCAUUAAGUAUGAGAAAAACUCAAUCUAGACCACUCAUAUUUUGAUAUAUCAUUUGUCAUUAGAUCUUUAAAAGUCUAAUAAACUAAGGGUUACAAAUCCUUUUUUUUCUAACGUGCUCGAGUUCUACAGGACAUUGGAGAAGUCCUAGAAAAUUGAUCAAGGCAACCUGGCUACAAUUGAUAGAAAGGAAACGUUUAAAGUGGCUUGAUUUACAAGAACCCGGUUCGCGAGUCCAUGGUUUCUCUAGGAAGCCUCAGUCGGCUUGCGGUACCACAAUUCAUAGAAGCAUAAAAAAUAGCUUGAUGUAACAAAGAUUUGUGCGUUCUUUUAAAUUCAGCAUUUGAGUUCGUUAUGAUGAAGGGUCAGAAUCAAUCACUAAAACAAGUGCCAUAACCUCAGCAUUGUAAUAAUUAAAAAAUAAUUUCUUGCGCAUGUACAAAGAGGUGAACCACUCGAAUGUAAACUUGAAAAGUGUUCACAACUGGAUUAAAUAAUGGACAAUUCAUAGUUAUUGUUAAUGUUAAAAGAAAGUAAUGGAUUGGGAAAAAAAAUAAAAAAUUAAGGAUAAUUUACAAUUAAUGUAGUCCUUGUGAUUUAAGGAAAAAUCAAGUAAGCCGGAAAUAAUUAGUACUAUUUUUCAAAUAAGUCCUCUGACCGUGUUUGACCAUUCAUCGUACUGCAAAGUAAGCGAAAAAAUCGACUUCUUAGCAGCCCACUUCUAUGAUGCGAUUAAUUUCAUCCAUUCGCUGAUUCGCGUGCUGGUAGUUAGGCAAGUUCAUUUGUUGGCUGGAGAAAUUUGAUAUUUUUGGUACCAAAUUUAUACGUGUGUGCGUGUGUGUUUCCUUUAAUUUGUGAAUUUGGUAUUACUUCUGAUCAAGUGUGCGAAACAGAAACAACGGUAUUUAUUACAGAAAUAUUUCUAAUUUGCAGUAUGGAAAGCUUGGAGAUGUUAAAUCUAUCCCAAAAUAACCUGUCAGGUUCAAUUCUAAGUAAUUUUGAAGAAAUGCAUGGCUUGUCAUUGGUUUAUGCAUCUCCUACAUUGAAUUACAGGGCCCAAUUCCAGUUGACAGAUACACAGCCAGAAAAUAAAUAAACUCCGUACGGACAAACUUGACACUCCCGCGGCCAGAUAUGUUCCAAAAUCUACUUAUAGCCAUAAUUUUGAUACAAAAGCCAAUGGAAUUAUUGCCCCUUAUAAAUUAUGAAUUACAUCCUAAUCUAGUUGCUUAAUUUUGGAUAGAAAAUCUUGCUUUGAUCAUUAUACCGCUUAGAAAUAUCAAAUUCCAAGGCUCGUCAUUAAUUGGGAUAAAAUUUUAUAUCUCAGCUUUCUAAAUAAUUUUACUUAUCAUUCAAAUAUAAAGUGGCCAGAGGACAUGCCGAGCGUCAAAAUGAAAGGAGAGAGGAGUAGUAGAUAAGAUACGGGUUAGAAGGAGUCAAAAUUUGAUAAACUUUUUUGGAUUGUAUCUCACAAGUCACAACUUUUUUUCCUUUUCUCCUGUUUGGAUCUCAGUGUUUAUAUAAAGCAAAGAUUCAAGGCCCACGUGUCCAUAAGAUGAGCGAUGGUGUCUACCAGAUUAGUUCUCUGGAGUUUAGAUCACCGGGGUAACACAGACAUUGACUCCACUUCUCAAUUGCUCUUUUGCUUUCGCUGUAAUUGUUUUCUGCAACGUCGUUAAAUUAUAAAUGAGUGUUUGAUAACCUUUUCAAUUUCAAUCAACUUUUGUAUUACCUUAAUUAUUUUGUUUCCUUUCUGCGUAAUUGAUCUUGUGUUUUUAUAAUAUCAAUGGUGUCACGAACCUUGAAUAGAGUAUCUUUUACUGUUUUGUUGAUUCUAUUUUAUACGUGUUUGUAUUAGAAUUUUUACUUAUCAUUGAAAAACCGGGGGAUGAAAUCUAACACGUACUAAUUAAAUUUAUUUCAUGAUAAUAAACUAAAUUUAUUUCAUGAUAAUAAACUAAAUUAAUUUUUUUAAUAAUUUGAUAACUUUACCUUAAAAGAAAAACUUUGGUAUGAAUUAUAACGCUUACUAUGGCAUGAACAUGGACCCUUUUUUCCCAAUCCAAAGCUUAUCCUAUGUUUGGCAAGGUUUUAUAUACUGGGAGAGGGAUAAAUAGAGAAAAACAUAUCUAUUGGAACCGUACCUCCAACAGGAUAAGUUGGGAAAAGCAAUCAAUAAUUUAACUAAUUAAUUAAAAUUAUAAAAAAUGUUGAGGGUGGGACAAAAUCAAAUUUAUUUUUUAUCCUUUACCUCCCCAUGAUACUAUUCAGUCAGGGCCUAGAGACAAAUUAAAUUAAUUAUUACUAAGAUAACAAUAUUAUAGGUAAAACAACUUACUUUUUAUCCUGAGCCCACACUCUUACAAUGUAAAAUCAAUAAUUUUUUAUAUCAUGAGUGACAUAGAACUUGUUUCCCAACUUUUUACUUAUAUUAUUAAUUUAAAGAGAACUUUACAUGAAGUGAUUUAAUUUAUAUAAAACUGAGCUAACUUACUGUUUUUUUUUUCGGGCUAAAAUUUUUAAGUAAUGACGUCUGAACUAACGAAAAUUUUCACUUACAUAUUCGAGUUCCAACAUAGUAUGCCAGUGAUAAAAACAAAAAAAUUGAAAAAAAAAAUAAAACGUCAUCUUACUGUUUAUUUGAUGGAAACCAAAUGUUCAAAGUGACUUGAUUUACAAGAACCCGAUCGGCGAGCCCAUGUUUUGCCUAGGUAGCCUCAGUAGCCAUGCGUUGUAAUAAUUAAUAUAAGCAUCAAAAAGAAAAUUUGUUUUGAUGUAAUAAAAAUUUGUACUUACUAAAUUCAGCAUUUCAGUUCGUUAUGAUGAAGUUUCUGAGUUUCGUAAUCAAGUAAAAUAGCAUCCUUUAUUAGCUGAGUCAAGUAUAAAAUUAAGGUGCUGAUGGGCAGAGUGAUUUGAGAUUAUCACACCAGUGAUCGUUGCUAGCUCUGAGUGCAAGAUAAUGUUUGUAAUCUUGUUAAUACUCUGUAUAAAUAAUACUCUCUUCCGAAAUCCGUUGAUCAUAUUUGUCUUUCACCUUGCAGAACUUGCUCACACAAUGAAGAUUACUGCAUAUUUGUCAUUUCUUUUUUCCAAGGAAAUUAUUAUGACAGUAUUGAGAUUUGAAAUGAUUGUUUGCAAAUUUUAUAGUUUAAAAUUAAGCAUGGAUUUAUUACCAAAGUAUGUUUAUUCUUUGCUCUAUGCUUAAUUCAUCAUUACUUGAUUACAGAUAAGUAAAUUAAUUUGAAAAUUAAGCUCGAAGUGUUAUAUGCAUUCUUCCAAUAUUAAUUACAAGCAUUCAAUAUGAUGAAACUGUUACAAGGUGCAAAUCAAAAUUAUGGUAACAAUGUUAGUAAAUAGGAAAGCUAGCUAGUCCCGACAAAUUCAAUACAGUCUCGUCUAUUAAAUGGGUCGAUACGAAGGUGAAUAGAAAUUAUAAUUCAACAUUUAAAGUCUCUCUGUCUCACUCAUUUUAAUAUCUUAAUCAAUGCACAUUAAUUUGAUGACAAAAAAUAAGGGUAUGGAUAAGCCAACCCCAAAAUAUUUAGAAUUUCCAUCCUCUCUCUGGCGUAAUUUUCGGGGAAGCAAAUGCCCAGUGAACAAAAGUUUGAUCAAUCAAUGAUUGGAUCCAAAGAUACGUAAAUUAGUCAAGUCUUUCCAUUAAUUUUGAUCACAAAUGUUUAUCCUAUUUUGUGGGACGACUUGCCAUGGACUUUAAUUGUAGUUGGAAGGGGAGUGGCUAUCAAUACAAAGAUUAUUUUGACAGGAUUGCUUGCAACAAGUGAACGUUUUGUUUGGGUAAUUUUAAAAUUGUAGAUGUCUUUUAAGACUUUUGCCUUAAGCAAUGGGGAAAACUCUUCCCUACUUGAUCAAGCAUCGACUCAUACACCUCUCAAUUGCUAAUCUGGAUUCUAUAUAAUUUUGGCUCGUGUGGAAAAAGCUACUCGUGGAUUCCUCCUAAUAACUCCAAUGAUUUUUCCUGAAAUUAAAACCAUAAUCUUUAGCCUUUAACCAUUUAGACUUUGGGCACGGACGAACGGUGUGUUAUGUAGUUCAUAGUCGAAGUGAAAACGGUCUAUAUUUUAGCCAAUACUCGGUUUAUGAAAACAUAUAUAUUUGUGAUCAAGAUUAAUGGACAAAUUGAUUAACGCUUUUUGUAUCCUAAAUAAACUUGUUUACUGGGCAUUUCUCCCAAAAAGAUCGCGCCAAUCAAAGAAAGGAAAAAUAUUGGCCGUACAGCACAGGGUGUUAGUUGGAAGAAAGGAAAAAUAUUGGGCGUACAGCACAGCUGCACAACCUUAAUAUCAAACGGACUCUAAAUCUAUUUGCAGAGGUACGUAAGUUCAACUAAUUAAGUAAUCUAAUUUUUGAAGGUAUAUGCCUGUAAAUUGAUUCCUUUCCCCCUAAAAAAUGAGUUCCGUUAGAUUAAUUAACUUUCAAAGUAUGUUUUUAUGUACCGAAUAUUGGCUAAAAUAUAGACCGUUUUCACUUCGACUAUGAACUACAUAACACACCGUUCGUCCGUGCCCAAAGUCUAAAUGGUUAAAGGCUAAAGAUUAUGGUUUUAAUUUCAGUUUUAUUACAGUCUCUGAAUUCUGACUUCUUUUUUCUUAUUUUUUUAAAGUCCUGUACGCUGGUGGCAUAUGUAUUAUACAAUCUGGGUAUAUCUAUUGGGAGUCUGAUUCAUACAUAUGAAACAUUUAGUGACAGAAUAAAUUCGAAUUAGACUGGGACCACACCAUUUUAUCCUGAGGCCACACUCUUAUAAGGUAAAAUCAAUAAUUUUUAUAUCAAGAAGUGACAUAAAAUUUGUUUCCCAACUUUUUAAAUAUAUUGUUUAUUUAAGGAGAACUUUACGUGAAGUGAUUUUAUUUGUAUAAAAAUGAGCUAACUUACUGCUUUUUUUUUUGCCAUAAUUUAUAAGUAAUAACGUCUGCGCUAAUGAAAAGUUUCAAUCAGAUAUACAAGUUCCAAUAUAGUAUGCUACUGAUAAAAAAAUAAAAAAAUAAAAAAAUAAAACAUCAUCCUGCUGUUUAUUUGAUGGAAACCAAAUGUUUGAAGUAGCUUGAUUUACAAGAACCCGCUUUGCGAGUCCAUGUUUUGUCUAGGAAUCCUCAGUAGCAUAGGCGGUGCCACGUUAGGACUAGAGCCCCCCUAACUUUCAAAAUUACAAAUUUAAUUUAAUAUUUAUCUCAUUUAUCAUAAAAUUCCCUAUUAAAAUUAAACAAAUAAUCAAAAUAUUAAGUAUUUAUCUUUAACUUCCAACCCACAAAGAUAUUGUUAUUUUGAGAUUCGUUGCACGCUAACUCUCCUCACACAAAAAAAAAAGAAAUUAUUUUAUCUUAUUGCGUUUAUUAAAAUGAUUUUACUUCAAUAAAUCUUAUGACACUUAAAAUUCAAUUUGAUGUUUAUAUUACAUAGGUGGGUUCUAAUAACAAAUUUUCAAAAUUGAAAGAGAUUGAUAGGUUAACAAGAAAAAUAGUUGAUACUAAAAAAGAUAAAUUAUGUUCAUUAAUUUGUUUAUUGAUAACAUUAGUAUUAAAUUUACUUGUUGUCAUAACUAUAGUAGUAAAAGGCAUUUUCAACUAUGAAUUUUGUGAAAAAUUAUCUAUGAAAUUAGAUUAGAGAUUAAUAAUUGAGUAAUAUUAUUAUUACACAUGUAGAAAAAGAUUAAUUUUGUAUUCUUGAUGAUAAGUUUAUUUUUUAAUGUUUUUAACAUAUGAAAACACGUCGAGAUCAAUUAUAAAUGUAUUGAAUAUAUUAAUGAAUUUUUAUUUUUGAUACUUGUUAUUUAUUGACAUUUUUCAAAUUACAAUAUUAUUUAUACUUAGCCCCUGCUAAGUUUAAUUUCUGGCACCGCCACUGCUCAGUAGCUUUGCGUUAUCAAUCACAAUUAAUAGAAGCAUCAAAAAUAGCUUUUUUUUUAAAUGUAAUAUAAGAUUUGUACUUCUAAGUUCAGCAUUUGAGUUCGUUACGAUGAAGUUUCUGAGUUUCUUUACGAACUAACAUAACAUCCUUUGCAUUUUCUCAUCAAAUAAUAAUAAUAAUAAUAAUAACAUCCUUUAUUAGCCGAGUCAGGUAUAAAAGGUGCUGAUGGGCAAGUGUGUCGAAGCAGAGUGAUUCGUGAUUAUCACAAAUGUGAUCUUAACUAGCUCUGUGUGAAACUGGUCGAUAUGAAUAUAAAAAGAAAUUGUAAUUCAACUUUUAAAGUCUCUCUGUCUCAACCAUUUUAAUAUCUUAAUCAAAAGGUACAUUUGAUGGAAAAAAAAAAAUAUUUGAUGGCAAAAAAUAUUUAGACUUUCCAUUUUCUCUUCGCCAUAGUUUUGAGGAGAUAAAUGCCCAGUAAGCAAGUUUGAUCAGUUGCUGUUAGGAUCCAAAUAAACGUUACUUAGUCAAUUAAUUUGUCCAUUAAUCUAGACCAAAAAUGUUUAUUCUAUUUUCAUAAUUCAACCCCAACCUUGGGCAUGGAUUUUUUUUUUUUAAAUUGUUACAAUAUGAGAAUCUAAAAAUUAAAAUUUAUGGUGUGUUUACUUGUGAAAUUGGGAAAUCGAAAUUCACAGUGGGAAUGAUUGAUAUUUUUUACUUGUUAAAAUGGAAUGGAGAAUCGGAAUGAAAUAUGUAAUAUCCACAUAUUUUUUAGUCAAGGAAAAGAAAUUUGAUUCGCAUGGGAUUGAGAAUCAAGCUUGCAUUCCUUGAAUUCACCAUUUUUCCCAACACACAUUUCAUAAUUUCAUUUUUUUUCCUCAAUUAAAAUAUUAUUUGAAGUUAUUGUCAUUAUUCUAAUAAUAAUAAUAAUUUUAAAAUAAUAAUAAUAAUAAUAAUCAUCAUCAUCAUCAUCAUAAUGAUAAUGAUAAAUAUAAUAAUAAUGAAAAUAACAACAACAAUAAUAAUAACGAAAAAUAAUGAUAUUAAUAACCAUAAUAAUAAUAAUGAUAAUCUAAUAAUACUAUAAAUAACUAUUAUUAUAAUAGUAAUAAUACUUUACAGUUAGUAAUUUCAUCAUUUCACAAGCCUCCUUCAGUGGCUGAUUUUGGGCAUCUUGCGGAUCUUCGCGUUUAUCAUAUCCACCUUUUAAAAGAAGAAGAAGAUGAUGACGAUGAUGUGGUGUGUGCGUGUGUUUAGAACUGUACCUUCAGCCAGUCUUUAGUUUUAAGAAAGAGUAGGAGAGGAGGGGGAAAAAAUGGAGAGGAGUGGAGGGGUAAUGAGAAAUUGAUUUCUAUUGUUUGGCUUUACAAAAAAAUUAAAGGGAAAGAAAUUACAUGUUUUUUUUUUAUUUGGACAAGUACACCCAUUGGACUUUAGUGUUAAAAUGUUAAUAUUAACAGUAAAUAUAAUAAAAAAAAUUAAACUAUAAAUUAAAUUAAUCUAGAACACAAAUUAAUAAGAAAACAUUUAAUUUUAUAUUAUAUUUUUAAUUAAUUGCUUCUUAUUUUAUAAUCAAAAUAACUAACCAAAAAGUAGUAGAUGGGCGACAAGUCGUAUAUCGACGUAGAAGAAAAUGAGAUACCGCUCAAACGGUGAUUGAUUUGACAGAACCGCAAUCAAGGGAACCAUUUUUUGGAUAAGUUUAGAGCAAUAAUAUUCAGAUUGCUAUGUAAAAAAUAUCCCAAUCUUGGAAAAGUUUUCCACCUUAUGAAACAUUGGAAAAAUCUUCCCAACUUGACGCAUCGACUUGUUGACCUCUCAAUUGCACUUGUGUGUGGCUUCUAUAAAUUUGGCGUCCAGCAUGCUUGUUUUCUGCACCUUUGUAUGUUUUCCAAAAGCUAAGAGUCAUCAAAAGAUCUUUUGAAUUUCAAUAACACUUCGGUUUAACUUUAUUUAUUUGAUUCUGUUUUUGUAAUAUCAAUGGGGUCACCAACCCUCAGUACAGUAGUUCCUUCACUUGUUUUGUUGAUCCUAUUUUUUGUGUUAAGUUUUUUAAUAACUGUUUCUUCAGAAUCUAAUGAAGAAGCUGAUGCUCUUCUCAAAUGGAAAGCCAGCCUUCAAAGCCAUAACCAAUCUCUCCUUCCUUCCUGGACUAACGCCACCACCAAUGUUUCGUCCAAAAUAAGCCCGUGUGCUUGGUAUGGAAUCAGUUGCAAUGACGCUGGAAGAGUCACCAAUAUCAGCCUCAGAAAUACGGGAUUAAGUGGUACGCUUCGUGAUUUGUCAUUCUCAUCGUUUCCUCAACUUGUGCUUCUUGAUCUCAGUCAUAAUGGAUUGUUUGGUACCAUCCCAUCUCAAAUUGGUAACCUUUCGAAACUCAGCUACAUUUCUUUAGAUUCCAAUCAGUUGUCCGGAAAAAUUCCAGCGGAGGUUGGUCUUCUGACUCAUUUGAAGAACCUUGGUUUUCAAUUCAAUCAAUUAGAUGGCUCAAUUCCACCAGAAGUUUGUCAGUUAAGUUCUAUCGAGGAGCUUUUCUUAUACGCUAACCAUUUAAACGGGUCGCUUCCUCCUUUUUUGGGUAACUUGAGCAAUAUCAUUCGAUUGUAUAUUAGUAAUAAUUCACUUUCUGGUUCUAUUCCUAUGAAUAUUGGAAACUUGAAAUUUCUUUUUGAAUUAGAUUUGAGUGAUAAUCAACUUGGUGGUUCAAUUCCUCUUUCUUUUGGUAACUUGAGCAAUUUGGCUCGAUUGUACCUUUAUGAGAAUUUACUCAUUGGUUCUAUUCCGUCAAGUUUAGGAAACUUGAAGCUCGUUGAUUUACAGUUGAGCUUUAACCAACUCACUGGUUACAUCCCAUAUUCCUUGGGUAAUGUAACAAGUUUAUCAUCUUUACUUCUAGACGAAAAUAAGCUUUAUGGUUCUCUUCCUCCAUUUGUUGGUAAUUUUACCAACCUGAGACUAUUUCACGUUUAUGAUAACUCUCUAUAUGGCUCUAUUCCAAGGGAAAUAUGGAACUUGAAAUCUCUUGUCUCCCUAGAUCUGAGCAAUAAUCAAUUUAGUGGUCCAAUCCCUGUUUCUUUCGGUAAUUUGACCAACCUAAAAGAAUUAUACCUCCUUAAUAACAGCCUAUCCGGUUCCAUUCCUCCCUCCCUUGGGAAUUCAAUGUUAACCGAUCUAGGAUUGGAUUUCAAUCAUUUUACAAGUUAUUUACCGCACAAUAUUUGUCGAGGUGGAGCAUUACAGUAUUUUGGUGUUUCUGAAAACCAUUUUCAAGGAACAAUCCCUAAAAGCUUGAGAAAUUGCACAAGCUUAAUCCGAGUACGCCUUAAUGGAAACAACCUUACUGGAAAUAUAUCAGAAGCUUUGGGCAUUUAUCCUAACCUGACUUUAAUAGAUCUCAGCCGCAAUAACUUUUACGGUGAAAUCUCAUCUAAUUGGGGGAAAUGCCCAGAAUUAGACACUCUUAAUGUUUCGAUGAAUAACAUUACUGGAGGUAUACCGCGUGAGAUUGGAAACUCGUCUAAAAUACAAGCACUUGAUCUUUCAUUGAAUCAUAUAGUUGGGGAGAUUCCAAAGGAACUGGGAAAGUUAAAUUCUCUAACCAAGCUCAUUUUGAGAGGGAAUCAACUGACAGGGCGUCUACCUACAGAAAUCGGCUCACUCAUUGAACUUGAACGCCUCGACUUAUCUACAAAUAGGUUCAACAAUUCAGUCCCAAAAAGUCUCGGCAACUUGUUGAAAUUGUAUUAUUUGGGCUUAAGCAACAACCAGUUUGUCCAAGAAUUGCCAAAGGAAUUGGAGAAGCUAGUUCAUCUUUCGGAAUUAGAUUUGAGUCACAACUUUCUUGGAGGAGAAUUACCACCUCAGAUCUGCAAUAUGGAAAGCUUGGAGAAGUUGAACCUCUCCCACAACAACUUGUCUGGAUCAAUUCCAAAUUGCUUUGAGGGAAUGCAUGGUCUAUCAGUCAUUGACAUUUCUGAUAAUCAAUUGCAAGGCCCAGUUCCAAAUAGCACAGCAUUUCGGAAUGCCCCAGUGGAAGCGUUAGAGGGGAAUAAGGGAUUGUGUGGAGGUGUGAAAGGAAUGCAACCAUGCAAAGUUUACUCGUCACACAAGCAAAAUUCUGGAGCCAAGUGGUUUGCAAUAGUGUUCCCUGUUUUAGGAGCACUAUUUGUUUCAAUGGGGUUGAUAGCAAUUUUCAUUCUUCGAAAGCGGAAGUCAGACUCAGGAGAUCCACAUAGUAGCAGCCAGAACCCUCAGGGAUUGUUUUCUAUUUUAAAUUUUGAAGGGAAACUUGUGUACGAUGAAAUUGUUAGAGCAACAAAUGAUUUUGAUGCAGAGUAUUGCAUUGGAAAUGGUGGACACGGAAGUGUUUAUAGAGCUGAACUACCAUCUGGGACAGUCGUAGCUAUUAAGAAAUUUCACUCGCCACUCCCAUGUGAUCAGAUUGCAUAUCAAAAAGAAUUCUUGACCGAAGUUGAGGCCUUGACAGAGAUACGACAUCGAAACAUUGUGAAGUUUUAUGGAUUUUGCUCACAUGCCCGACACUCUUUUUUGGUCUAUGAAUUUCUUGAAAGGGGUAGCUUGGCUGCGAUCUUGAGCAGUGAUGCAGCAGCACAAGAACUGGGUUGGAGUCAGAGAAUGAAUGUGAUCAAAGGCGUAGCUGAUGCCUUGUCUUACUUGCACCAUGACUGCUUUCCUCCGAUCGUCCAUCGAGACAUAUCAAGUAAGAACUUGUUGCUGGAUUUGGAAUAUGAAGCUCAUGUUGCAGACUUUGGAAUUGCUAAGUUUCUGAAGCCAGACUCGUCCAACUGGACUGAAUUUGUAGGCACAUACGGAUACGUUGCACCAGGUAUUUAGUAUUCGUUUGUUACCAUUUUGAGUAAUAUUUUUUUGUUAUGUGUUUCGUAACAUAACAAUGUACCUAGAUAUUGUUGAAAAAUUUAUGUAGUACAUUCAGCAGACUUGUAAAAGCUUACUAGUUUAUGCACAUUUAUCUCAUAAACAGAGUAAACAUUUUUUUUUUUGGGUCCUUGACCUUGCAGAGCUUGCUUACACAAUGAAGAUCACAGAGAAAUGCGAUGUGUACAGUUUUGGAGUGUUAGUGUUGGAAGUGAUCAAAGGGAAGCAUCCAAGAGAUUUUCUUUCUUCGAUUUCAUCUUCAUCUCUCAACACGGAUACAGCACUUGAUGAAAUGUUGGACCCGCGUCUUCCAGCUCCAUCAAGCAGUGUUCAAGAAAAACUGAGAUCAAUCGUUGAGGUUGCGUCUUCAUGCUUAAAUGAGAAUCCGAAGUCUAGACCAACUAUGAAGAUAGUCAGUCGACAAUUGCAGAUUUCAGCUGCCUUGACUGAGUCUUAAUUUUCUAAGUAUACUUCUAAUUUACUUGGUGUCCUAGUGAUUUAACCAAAAAUCAAAUAAAGCAAUAAUAAUUAGUUUUUUUUUUGAAUGAUUUGUCUUAGCUUUGAGUAAACGAUUUGAAGGAACUUAUCGCUCUCACCAAUUGUCUUGAAUGCUCUAAUGGCUUAUACUUUGUAGAAUCGCCAAUGUUGUGAUAACAACUUCGAUGGUUAAAGUUUGAUUGUGAAUCUCGAUUGAAUGACUUAAUUUACAUUUGAUUCUUAUGCAGACCUCUACCAAGUUAAUCUUUUUUUCUGGAUGUUUAAUUUUGUUAUCUCAAAGUUAAUUAGCUGAUGUCCUAUAUUUGAUCAAUGUGGAUGGCGGAUCAAAAUUAAAGAAUUCUUGAACGAAGUUGAGGCCUUUACAGAGAUACGACGUCAGAGCAUUGUAAAACAUGGCUGACAUUCAAUUAUAGUUUAUGAAUUUCUUGAAAGGGGUAGCUUGGCCAUAAUCUUGAGCAAUAAUGCAGCCACAGAAGGGUUAAGUGGGUUGGAGUCAGAGAAUGAACAGGAUAAAAGGCGUUGUCGAUGCCUUGUAAUAUUCGUUUGUUGCCAUUUUGAGGAAUAUUAUCAUCCAACACAUUCUAUAGAGAUAUAAAAGCUUACUAAUUUAUACGCAUUGAUCUUUCAAAAGCAAGUAAACAUUUUUUUUUUCUUUUUUAUUUGUCCUUGACCUUGUAGAGCUUGCUUACACAAUCAAGAUCACAUAAAAAUGAGGUGUACAGUUUCGGAGUGUUAGUAUUGGAAGUGAUCAAGGGAAAGCAUCCAAGAGAUCAGAUGUAUUUUUUCCGCAGUUUCAGCUUCAUCUUCCAAUGCCGCUUGAUGAAAUGUUGGAUCCUCAGCUUCCACUUGAUCCAUAGUUCGAUGUUCAGAGCAAGUUGAUCAUUACUGUUUGAAUUUUAAAUAUCUGCCUUCAUUUCUCAUUGCUGCACAAGUUAAUUAUACGCAUCAUGCUUAUGCAGGCCUUAAUUCGGAGCAAAAGAAUGUUAUUAGUUGACAGAAUGUGCAACUAGAGAAGGAUUUCAUCCACCAAUUCAUAGUUAAUUAGUCUGUCUUCAACACAAAAUAGAAAAUUUAGUUGACAGAUGACCACAAAAGACUAGCUUCGUUUUUGCUAAAAAAUAAAUAAAAUCUGCUUCUAUGGCCCCUGUAAACCAACUCCUUCAAUGCCCCCAAUUUCAAAACUAUCAUUGAUAGAGAGCCAUUGAACCUGAGCUUCAUAUUCAACUUUUCAGCGUUCCAUUUCUAGCCUCAAGUUUUUGAGAGCUUGGACGCACUUGACACUACACAACCCUCGCGAGAUACGUCCCAAAAUCCUCUGAGCCAGUUUUGGUGAUCGGCUGAGCUUGUGUGGACUACUAAGCACCAAAUCAAUAGUCGUCCAACAUGAAUUUCACGUGGAUUCCAAUCAACUCUUGACCAUAGAUUCUGUGCCCCCCAACACACUAUGCUUAUGGUUUAAAAAUAAAAUAAAUCAUGUUAAUGCUUUGUAUCAAUACUUAAUGCAUUGACAAUCAUUUUCUUUGUGCACCGACUUGUCGAUAAAGAAAGUUUAAUGGUCCAUCUAUUAGUUUACAUCUGCUUAAUUUUAUUGGAAUGAAACGAAAUUAAUAGUUUCUUUGUUUUAAAAAAUAAAUAACUAUAAUUUCUUGAAUAUUCGAUGAAUAAACAAAAGAAUUGUGAAUGAAGUUUUGUUUAGUAUUAAGGUAUUGUUAUCUUUAAAUCACAAUUAUCAUUAAAAAUAAAGGUAUAAUAAAAAAAGAAAUUGAUAAUUUGUAAUAAAUAUAAUUUUUAAAUAAUAAUUUUGAUAAAAAUAAUAAAGAUACUGUAAGUUUUCUAUCAUUAAAAUAAAAUCAUUUCAACUUCCAAAUCAUAGUGAUGAUAGAAUCAUAAAUUUUUAUAUAAAUUUAUUUUGUAUAAAUAGAUGCAUCAUAAAUUAUUAGUUAAAUAAAAAUAUAAAAUAAUAAAAUAAACUAUAUGAAAGAAAAAAUAUUUAAUUUAAUUAAUUUAAUUAUGUCAUGUUAAUUUAUAUAAAAUAAAAAGUCUUCUAUUUAUGUUGGCGUAAACCAGCACCGAUACAGACAGUAUUCUAUUUGCUCGAGUGUUCUAUCCAAUUUUUCCGUCCAAUAUGAUUACUCUUAAAAUAAAGGAAGCCGUGGACCCCACGAACGAGACAUCACGUUGGCCCACUAGUCUUGGUGAUAACAUCUUUUUCAUGUAAAAAAAACACCCCCGCUUUACAACGACACCGUCUUUUCUUUGUCUUUCCUUUCGUUUUCGUCAGCCUCCACCAACACUUCAAUAGCCGCCCCAUUUUCUUUCACUCCUAUCCAUUGUCCACGCGUCCGACCAUGAUUGCUUCACCGGUUCUAAUCACAAGAUUUUCGUCAAAUGGACGUACGAGAUGGGCCCCAUCUCUGCGCAGACCACACCGUCUACUCUCUUUGUCAAAGGAAAAUAAAACUAUUAAAAUCUCUAAAUCAUUCUAUCUUCUCGUGAUAAAUUGAAUUCAACUCUUUUUUUAAUCUUUUAUUUAUAAAUUGUAAAUAAAAAAAUCAAAAGCAUUCAACUGAAUAUUCCCUUUGAGAAAUUAUAAAAACAGAAUUAUACAGUGGUGAACUUCCUUGCACGAACAUGACCUUGAUUCAAUUUAUUGAACAUACAUAUAUGAUACUUUAAUAUACUUUUUUCUUAUAGUUUACAAAUUGUAGUGCUUAUUUUCUUUCGUAUACCAAACAAUAGAUGUGUAUGUAGGUUGAAGCAAAUAUGUUGUAUCGUAUUUGGUAAAAUAUUUAAUGUUGACAUCUUAUGCCAUUAUUAUUAAAUCUUCAAUAAAGAUUCUUCAUUGUAUUGAACAAAUUUCUAUAUAAUAUAAAUUAUGUAUUUCGUCAUAAUAGAAGCUGUCAAGAAAGAUUGUCUCAACUUUUUAUUAAGAAUUUGUAUUCAUAAAUAUAUAAUAUGAUCUAAACCUUAAACAUUAAAAUUGUUUCAUAACUUAGUUAUCAAUAAAAGAUUUAACAAUUUUUUAAUUAUUGAUUGUAAAUAUUAGCACAUUAUAAUAUGAUGGUUGUCGAAACCAGCAAAAAUAAAUACCUACUCUAAAAAAAUUGUGUAUAGUGAUUGAGCAGGGUCGUAUCCACAGAGAUCGGUAAUUAUUUAAAUCCCUUUAAAAUGUAAAAUGCAAAAUAAGGGGAUUGUUGACAAUAAUAAAAAUCAAAUUAAAAUAACAAGAAUGCAAAUUCAAAUUGUAAUUCAAAUUGGGAAAAGCUCUGGUUGAAGGAAUUAACUCAGCUUGAUUCGACUACUGAUUAUUGAUUCAAAUAUAAAUCAUUACUACUUAUGAAUAGUCCGGUUAUAGCUACUGAUACCCUCUAAUAGUCAAUCUCUCCUUAACUAGUCGAUAAUCAAGGUACGACCAUUAGUUAUUUUCCUAAUCAAUAGACAACCCUAGAUACGAUCAUAGGAUUUAAUCAAUUGACAGCCUGAAAAAUCAGAGAGACCCAAAUCAUAAUCAACAAACGCAUACGAUGAUUCAUUUAAAUUAGAUCGUACAUUUUUAUAACACAAUGCACUACUAUGCUAUUUGUCACAAACAUUAAAAUCUUCAUACGAUGAAUCUUUUAAUUGACAAUAGAUUAAGUUGAUAAUUAAAUAGUGGUCAAUUAUCUAGUUAACAAACAUAAUCAUGAUAAUAAUUUAGAGAAUAAAUAAAUACCCAAAAAGUAAUAAAACAAUUAAAGCAUAAGAAAGAUCUCACAGUAAUGAUGAAUCAAAGUUUUAUUAACCUUCAAUCAGAAUAAUAGGUUUAGUUCUUCAUAAAGAGAAGAGAAAAAUUUAGAUUUAGGGUUUUUUUUCUUCCCCUUUCCAAAAUCCCUUCCUCUCUUGUUUUUCACGUCUCCUUCCUCUUAUAGAGUUUUUUUUAAAAAUAAAAUACUAACAUCUAAAAUAUUAUCUAAAUAUUAAAUUCAAAAUUACAAAAAUAAUCAAAAAGACAAAAAAUGCAAAUUCAAAUUGUAAUUCAAAUUGGGAAAAGCUCUGGUUGAAGGAAUUAACUCAGCUUGAUUCGACUACUGAUUAUUGAUUCAAAUAUAAAUCAUUACUACUUAUGAAUAGUCCGGUUAUAGCUACUGAUACCCUCUAAUAGUCAAUCUCUCCUUAACUAGUCGAUAACCAAGGUACGACCAUUAGUUAUUUUCCUAAUCAAUAGACAACCCUAGAUACGAUCAUAGGAUUUAAUCAAUUGACAGCCUAAAAAAUCAGAGAGACCCAAAUCAUAAUCAACAAACGCAUACGAUGAUUCAUUUAAAUUAGAUCGUACAUUUUUAUAACACAAUGCACUGCUAUGCUAUUUGUCACAAACAUUAAAAUCUUCAUACGAUGAAUCUUUUAAUUGACAAUAGAUUAAGUUGAUAAUUAAAUAGUGGUCAAUUAUCUAGUUAACAAACAUAAUCAUGAUAAUAAUUUAGAGAAUAAACAAAUCAAAAAGACAAAAAAUAAUGAUAUAACUACAAACUCUUGUACAAAUUUAUUUUGUACAAACUGAUGUGGCAUGAUAAGAUUGGUUGAAUUAAAUAUCAUUUGGCCCACAUGAUUUGUUUUUAUUAUUUUAUAUUUUCAUUCAACCAAUGAAUUAAUGCCACGUCUGUUUGUACAAGAGUUUGUGGUUGUAUCAUUACUCAAAGACAAAAUACGUUAAACUAAAAACUACAUGUCCGUAGUUGACAGCACGCGCUCACGCCUUAUUAACAAAGUUCUUCUAAAACUCAUAAUUUCUCUGGGAAAACAAUCAUCAUCAAACAUCAUAUUGUAUCUUAAUUUUAGCACCAAUCAAUAGAAUUACACCUACAAAAAUAAAGCACAAGUAAAUCACUAUUAUUAAGUGCAAAACAUCGAUAUUAAAGGAAGUAAACAAUGCAAAACAAGUGCAUAAAUUACACUCUAACAUAAUACAAUAUUAAAAUAACCUUAAAGUUAAUUUAUUACUGUCACAUUAUAAAUCUAUAGAAUUAAUUUGAAUUAGUAAAAUUAUUAAGCCAAAGUCAGAAAGAUAUAUCAAAUUUGGCUAGUUAAUUUAUUAUUGUCACAUAUUAAUAUUUAAGUUAUUAGAUAAUGAUCCAACAUUAACAUUUGAAGUUUAUGCUUUAAUAAAUUGUAUAAAUUCGAUAACAAAAACAUUAAAUUCAAACAAAAGUAAAAUUUACAUGUUGUUCAGCUAGUCUUGGAAUGACAGAGUACUUGUUCAAUACUUCUUACGACCAAAAUAAUUUUUUUUGAUUCGCCAUGUCUUUCAAAUUUGUAAUCAAAUGGCAGAUGUUUUAACUAAAUUUGUACUCUGUCGCUUUGAUUUUUAUGUUUCGCUCGAUCCCAGCCAAUUACUUUGUUAUUUUUUAUUGGUUAUUCGGAAAUAAAUGAAGUCUAUUAUUCAGAAAAAUAAUUACCUGCAAAAAUCGUACUUCAUUUUCAAUUAUUCGUAUCCAAAAUCUUUCAAAAAGGUAAUAAUAUUCCGAAUUAAUUAAAAACAAUUAUGCGUAAGCAGGCAAGUCCACGAGAAACCAACCCAAAAGCGCAAAAGAAAAACAAAAGAAAAGAAAAAGAAACACGUUCAUUCAAUUUAUUGCGAUACGAUAAAUGCUUAACAAAACGUCAUAUCAAUUUCACCAUCAAAACUACGGUAAUUUCUUAUAUAGAUUAAAAAAAAUUUAAAAGCAAAUAAAAACAAAAAAAAAGCAACAACUGUACUGCAACUUAACGUUCCCAAUUUUCCAAUGAAUAAAAUAAGAGUUAUUUUAAAAUAUCUCUCCUGAGAUUUGAUAUAAUUUCAGUUAGAUGGUGAAAUUGAUUAUAUUCUCACUUAUCUUCUUUACAGUUAUUAUACAUACACGUAUAACGUUAGUAUUUAAGGGCAAAAAUAUAAAAGAUAUGUUGAAAAUCUAUAAAAAAAAAGUAACAAUUAAAAAUGGUUUGAAAUUCAUUAAAUAAUUAUAUUAUCCAAUUACACUAAAUAUCCAUUGUAUAAAAGAGUGAAUUUUUUCUUUCUCCAGCACAAAAAAAUAAUGAAAAUGUCUUGCUCUCACAUCAAGAAUCAAAGCAUUUUCCACACUCCACUCCCCUACUCUCAGGCAGUGUUUACUUUCUGGAGUGGGAGUGUGGAGUAUGGAUUUCUCCCACUCCAGUGUUUACUUACCUUAAAAAAGGGGGGAGUGGGAUUCCCACUCCGUGGGUCCCACCUAAUUUUGGAGUGGGGAGUGUGAUUCCCACUCCCAUGGGGGGAGGUGGGAGUGGGAAUCCACUCCCCUCUCUUCCCAUUUUACCCUCAUAAUUAAAAUAAAUAAAUAAUAUUUAAUAAAAUAAAUAAUAUCAUAUUUAAUAAAAUAAAUAUGUUAUAAUUAUUAUUUUUAAUAAAUAUGAUAUUAUUUUAUUUUUAAAAUAAAUAUUAUUUUUAAUAAAUAAUAAUUAUAACAUAUUUAUUUUAUUAAAUUUAAUAAAAUAACUAGAACAAAAGUAAAUAAACACAACGAGCAUAUAUAACCCAUGAAGAAGACAAGCAUGGGUGGUCGGGAAAGGCCACCGACCAGUGACGAUUGACGGCGGUCGGGAUAUGCCACUGGUAUUGGAGUUUGUAAGAGGUUAGUUACUUUAUCAAAGUCUAAAAUUUUUAAAUACCUUUAAUUUUUCUUAUUUUUGGAGAUUUCAUAAGUAGUUAUUGGUUGGGUUUGAUUUUCUUGUUCAUUGGGUUGAUGGUGGAAAAAUUGAUUAAAAGGAGAAUGGGUUCAACAAUAUGUGGGCAUGAGUUGAAAAAAAAUUGUUAUUGGUUGUGUUUUUGUUUGUGAUUUACACCAUAAAUAGUAUAAUAAAACAUAUAAAACCAAUAAUUUGUGAUUUUUAUGACAAAUAUGUAUGUAAAAUAGAAGUAGUCUUAUCUGUAAUGUUUAUUUUUUCAGCCAAAGUUUGCUAAAGUUAAUCUAUUUAUAAAUUUGUAGUAUUUUUGUGCGCCCGUCGCACAAACACAGUUUUUGUGUUUUUUUAGCGACAGGGGCCUGUCCCCCGUGCGACCGACCCACGUUGCACGAACACAAUUUGUGUUUUUGGGCGACAGCAUUGUCGCCCGUGUGACGGGCUUAUGUCGUCCGAAUUCAGUUGCUGUGUUAUUUAGCGACAAUGCUGUCGUACAGGCGACAACCCAUGUUGCCCAAAAAACACAGUUUAUGCUUAAUAUUAAUUCAAAAUAAAAAUAGUAAACAGACACACACACACAUAAUUAAAACAUAUAUAUACAUUAUUAUUAUCACAAUUAUUAUUAAUAACUUUAUUAAAAUGUAUUACUAUUAUCAUUAUUUUUCUUUAUUAUUGUAAACGUUGUUUUUGUUUUUUAGUAAUAUCGUUGUUGUUGUUGUUGUUGUUGUUGUUGUUGUUGUUGUUGUUGUUGUUGUUGUUGUUGUUGUUGUUGUUGUUGUUGUUGUUGUUGUUGUUGUUGUUGUUGUUGUUGUUGUUGUUGUUGUUGUUGUUGUUGUUGUUGUUGUUGUUGUUGUUGUUGUUGUUGUUGUUGUUGUUGUUGUUGUUGUUGUUGUUGUUGUUGUUGUUGUUGUUGUUGUUGUUGUUGUUGUUGUUGUUGUUGUUGUUGUUGUUGUUGUUGUUGUUGUUGUUGUUGUUGUUGUUGUUGUUGUUGUUGUUGUUGUUGUUGUUGUUGUUGUUGUUGUUGUUGUUGUUGUUGUUGUUGUUGUUGUUGUUGUUGUUGUUGUUGUUGUUGUUGUUGUUGUUGUUGUUGUUGUUGUUGUUGUUGUUGUUGUUGUUGUUGUUGUUGUUGUUGUUGUUGUUGUUGUUCUUCUUCUUCUUCUUCUUCUUCUUCUUCUUCUUCUUCUUCUUCUUCUUCUUCUUCUUCUUCUUCUUCUUCUUCUUAAUUAUUACUUUGUUUUCACUUAUUAUUGUCUGCAUAUUCACAUAUGAUCGAGACGAAAUGCCAAUUGAACCGUCUGUUGUUUCACUAGAACCUGCAGCAGAAAUGGACUGGUUUGACUUAGCAGACGAGAAUAAGUUUGCUCUCCCUGAUUUGAAUGAUGAGGUUCACAUUGAGUAGGUGACAGCAAUAGAAGCUUCUCUUGAGAGGAUGCCAGCAAAUGACGAUGGAGAUCACUAUGCGGAUGAACCUACAGAAAAUGAUAUUGAAAAUGAUUUACGUUAUGCUGAUAGCGAAGGAGAGUUUAAUGAAAUUGUUCGCGUUGCGCUUGAGUUUUUGUAUAUUCUGUAUAAAUGUGAUACUAACGAACUCACAUUAUAGUGACAAUGCCAUGUAUAAGGUAUAACUCAACUAUCACAGUAUAUUGUUAGUGCAGUUGUUCUUUUUGUUCUUUUUAUGUAUAUGAGUGACUGUUGGAUGUAGAGGUUGAUGAAAUUCAGUCAAUUUGUGACUGUCACCAAUUGUAAGCUGAGGAAAUGCACAUGUCGCUGUAAUUUAAAUUAUGAUGUCAUUCUACUUAGUAUUAUUUUCUAAUUCAAUUAACUCAUACUAAUUUUUUUUCCUUUUGGUACAAAUUUAAAUGUUUGUUAUUUAUGUUGUUGGUUUGGUGAUAUACAACUUGAUGGUUUGGAAUUUACUUAUUUCUUUAAACAACUAAAAUACUACUGGUUUAGUGUGAUGGAAUCCUUUAAUGUAUUUUGGAGACUGAUAUAGUCUGUUACUGAGAGAACUAAAUUAUAUUUUAGUGGUUUUGAUUUCACGCGACAGUUUCUGUCUCCCAAGAGACGAGCAUUCGUCACUCAAAAUUAGUUAAAAAAGUUUUCUGUAAUUUGGUGAGACAGCCACCUGUCUCUAGGGAGAUGAGCAUUUGUCACUUAAAAUUACAGAAACAAGUUUUCUGUAAUUUGGGGAGACAUAUACCUAUCGCCCAGGGGACAGUGCAUGUCACUUAAAAAGUAGGCGCGAUUGCGCUAAGCCCUGUUGCGUGCGCGAUUUUACAGAAAUCCAAAAUAGCCUCUUAAGCUUGUUGUCGCAAACGUUUUGUGCUAGAUGAUGAGUUUACAAAACAUGACUUUGCAUGAAUGCACCAUCAACACCUUAAUCUACCUAAAAUGAGACAAAAAAAAUCCUAACAGAUAUUUUGUCGAGCACCUCAUGUGCCAUUUAUUAACUACCAAUUUCAUUAAAUCAUUUUUAAUAUUUACUUGACAAUCAAUCCUAAUACUCAUUUAUAAUAAUCUAUACACUCAUCUGUCAUCAAUCAAUCUUAGUAUAUGUUACUUUAAUUCAACUAAUAUUCCUUUUGAGAAAUUAUAAAAACAAAAAAUUAUACGGUAGCCAACUUCCUUGCAUGAACAUGACCUUGAUUCAAUUUAUUGAAUAUACGUAAAUGUUACUUUAAUAUACUUUUUUUUUAUAGUUUACAAAAUGUAGUGCUUAUUUUCUUUUGUAUACCAAACAAUAGAUGUGUAUGUAGGUUGAAGCAAAUAUAAUUUUAUAAACUAACACUAUGUUGCAUCGUAUUUGGUAAAAUAUUUAAUGUUGACAUCUUAUGACAUUAUUAUCAAAUCUUCAAUAAAGAUUCUUCAUUGUAUUAAACAAUUUUCUAUAUAAUAUAAAUUAUGUAUUUCGUCAUAAUGGAAGCUGUUAAGAAAGAUUGUCUCAACUUUAUAUUAAGAAUUUGUAUUCAUAGAUAUAUAAUAUGAUCUAAACCUUAAACAUUAAAAUUGUUUCAUAACUUAGUUAUCAAUAAAAGAUUUAACAAUUUUUUAAUUAUAAAUCAUAAAUAUUAGCACAUUAUAAUACAAUAUUAAAAUAAACCUUAAAGUUAAUUUAUUAUCUUCACAUUAUAAAUCUAUAGAAUUAAUUUGAAUUAGUAAAAUUAUUAAGCCAAAGUUAGAAAGAUAUAUCAAAAUUGGCUGGAACUGCCUAUUAAAGUAACAUAUAUGUAUUUUAUAUGGAUACAUUAUGUAGCAAAAAAAAUGAAGAUUUUUGUAACAAACUUGGCAAAUAUCUAAAUUGCUAUGUUGAUACUAAAUAAUUAAUCGCUUUAAGAAUCCAUUUACUUUUGGUGUAAAUCAAAAGGAAGACGAUAGAUUCACGGAACUUCUGCCUCAAAAAAGCAAACGAUCCAAAUUGGAUAAAUAGUCAAUCAAUUAAUCAAACAAAGUCGUCUAAAUAUAAUGAGAACUUGACCUUUUGUUUUAUCUCAGCAACAAGUUGAGUGUUGUGUGACUUAAAAUUAAAAUAUUAAUCAAACUACAAAAUUAUAUCAUUUAAGAAAUUAUAUUUAGGUAUUUAUUUAAUUACAGGUUUAGUUAGUCACCGAGUGACUCUUAAGUGAGAAUGUUAAUUCCUUGAGCAUCAUGUGACACUUUCUUUAAAGAUUUUUGAAUUGUUUGAUGGUUGUGAGAGUAAAAUUUAAAAUAAUAAAAAUAAAUGUAAUUAUCAUGUUAAUGGGACCACAUUUUAAUCAUUAACUCAUAUAAGAAUAUGAAUUCAAAUAUCAUGUGAAUGAAAUUUGGGAAAAAAAAAAUAGAUUUGUUAACAUCACAGUUACAAGUUGACUUUAAAUUUUUAAUGAAUCUGUCAUAAUAUUAUUUUUUUUCUGAAUAAUCAUAUUAAUAUUUAAGUUAUUAGAUAAGGAUCCAACAUUAACAUUUGAAGUUUAUGCUUUAAUAAAAUUGUGUAAAUUCGAUAACAAAAACAUUAAAUUCAAAUAAAAGUAAAAUUUACAUGUUGUUCAGUUAGUGUUGGAAUGAUAGAGUACUGGUAUAGAAUUACGACGUUCAAUACUUAUUACGACCAAAAUAAAUUUUUUUGAUUCGCCAUGUCUUUCAGAUUUGAUUUUUAUGUUUGGCUAGAUCCCAGGCAAUUACUUUGUUAUUUUUUAUUGGUUAUUCGGAAAUAAAUAAAGUCUAUUAUUCAGAAAAAUAAUUACCUGCAAAAAUCGUACUCCAUUUUCAAUUAUUCGUAUCCAAAAUCUUACAAAAAGGUAAUAAUAUUCUGAAGUAAUUAAAAAACGACACGUAAGCAGACAAGUCUACACGAAACCUACCUAAGAGCGCAAAACAAAAAAAAAUGAAAAAGAAACACGUUCAUUUAAUUUAUCGCGACACGAUAAAUGCUUAACAAAAUGUCAUAUCAAUUUCACCGUCAAAACUACGGUAUUUUCUUAUAUAUAUUAAAGAAUUUUUUUUAAAGCAAAUAAAAACAAAAAAAAGCAACAAUUUCCCAAUGAAUAAAAUAAAUAUAAAGGACUCGUGCAUGCCUUCCAUUUCCCUCCUGUUUUUGUCACCCGCCUCCUCCUCAUCUCGCCACCUGUUUCCCCCACUACACCCCCCAAAACGUCACCGUUUCAUUCUCACUCCUUCCUCACCCCCCUCUCCUUUUCCCCACAUUCCUUCGUUUCAUAUCAACUCAAAAAUUCAUUCUUUCAACAUUACUAAUAAUAAUUUUAUUGAAAUAAAUCAAUCAAAAAGGUAACCCCAAAUAUCUCCUCCAGCUUUUUGCUGCUUCUUAAUUUUGAUCGACUAUGACGAUGUACUAAAGCUUCAAUUUUUUUCGGUUUUUUCAGUCAACGCUUUUGCUUCAAGAUUUCGUUUUACCUUCCUUGAAAAUUAAAGCUCACCUAAUGUUCUUUUUUUAACUGAAGAUUGAUACAAUUUUCACUUCAUUUUUUUCUUAACUUUGUAUCCGGAUUUGCUACUUUUGUUUAAAGUUUUUUAUUUUUUUAUAUUUUUCUGUGGAGCUAAGCAUGACUUUGGUUACAGCUUUAUAUUAUUUUAACAUAUAAUUAGACUAAUUUAUUUAUUUGUGGAUUUAUUAUUUUUAAAUAUGGUUUGAGACUUCUGAUGUUUCAAUAUUUAUUGCACACGUGUAGUGCAGUGGCUUUAAUGAAUGUGGUAUUGUAAAGUUUAAAGCUUUUUGCAUGUGAAUGAGUUGGUGUGUACUCUUUCAUUGAUGUUUAGAUUCAUGUAUGUGGUGAUCUUAGCUUUGGGAAUGGUAUUGAUUCUAUUCUUGUUUGUUUAUUCAUAUAAGAACUUUGAUGCAACCUUCAGAUUCCUUUUGAACCAUGUAGUUAUAUAUUUGGAUUAGUUUAUAGCAUAUCAACUGUUGAUUGUUGCAUUUAGAUGUUUUUUGUUACUUCCGCUCUUGAUUGCUUAUUAUAUGUUAGUUAAAGAGCAAACAUUAUACAAGUUCUUGAUUGAUUAGUGCUCUUUCGUAUAACGGGUUCGUGACUGAUGUUCACUUUCUUAUUUGACUUUGUUUAUGCAGUUCUUGUAGCGAGAUUGUGUAAUUUGAAUAUUCAGAUACUUCUGUAGCUGAUGGAUUCGCCAGAUAUUGAGUCUCCCUGGCUUUGUGCCGCUGGCGAAUCCUUCUGUGGGUCGUUUAAUAUACGUGUGGAGGAGGGGAAUGCAGCCGAUAUUUUACAUGUGCUGGAAGUUCCCACCUCUUCUGUACCCUAUAACUGUAGUAUACCCAAGCCACCCCCUCUCCCUAUUAAACCCUGUACAAAAAACAAAUAUCCCAAUAGAUUUUUACAUUGUAGUUUUGUUCCAAAGGAAACAAAUGAUGUAUGGGAUAAGCUUUUCAAGGAAGGAAAUGGUGCAGAUGUCUAUAUUAUCACCAUGGACGAAUCCUGUAUUCAAGCUCAUUCCAGUAUACUGGUUAGUUAACUGAACUUUGCCUUACUUCUCUGUUAAAAUGGAGCUACUCGGGAUUAUCUCAUUGACAAUUUCUUUAGUACUGUAAAGUAAUUUCAUUUCGGAGAUGUUAUGGAUGUUUAAUAGAUGUUCCAGUGGCUAUGUUAGCAAUUUUAGAACCGGCUUGAAGAGUUGGCAUCUAUUCAACAUAAAUAUACAGUGUUUGGAAUUACUCUGUUUAUAAAUGGAUAGAAGAAAUCCUGGGACCGUUAAUAUUCAAUUUCGAUGGGAGAAAAUUCCUGAAGUUAGAACUGUUAUUUGUGCAGAG
Molecule: long non-coding RNA, 30413 nt
Filed under: Citrus sinensis (sweet orange)
Lineage: Eukaryota; Viridiplantae; Streptophyta; Magnoliopsida; Sapindales; Rutaceae
Description: long non-coding RNA (CSIN_LNC004552)
Source: RNAcentral